CCUGAUGAACUAAAGCACAUCUACACAUGCUUUAAAAAAGGAUUUUAAUCGUGGACAGUCUUUGGCAAGAUUAACUAAAGAGGAGACAGCCACUGUUGCCAGUGAUGUCUUGCCCCUGUUUACCUUGUUUUAGGAAGGAAAAUACAAGUUAACUGCAAUAUCAAUUUUCUCUAAUCAUUCUGUGUUGUUAAAUAAUGUUUCUGUUAAAAGAAUAACUAUUCUAUUGUUAUUAUUAAAAUAUUGAUGUACUGCAAUAAAAAGUUAAAUGAUGACUUAAAUGUACCAGAGAAGUUUUUAGCUCUCCUUUUAUAUUGAAUCUUAAAUAGAGAGUAAUUGCAAUGAUGACUUUUAGUAACCUUAACUUAAUGAAGGAAUUGUGGUUGUCUGCAUUUGGAAUUCUUACAAGGCAAUCAUGUAAUAGAUAAUAAUAUCUACUGGGUUCUAACUUCACUCUAUAGGCAUUAUUUAUGACUGCUGCUGGCAAAGCAGUUACUCCAUUUUCCAAGCCAAGCUGCAGUGAAAAUUUUGGCAGCAAUCAAAGAAGAGCCUCCAAAAAUAUGGGCCAUAGAGAUGCCUAA
RNAcentral lists this long non-coding RNA (578 nucleotides) under Calidris pugnax (ruff). RNAcentral's name for it is "lncRNA (ENSCPUG00000009041.1)". The record is from RNAcentral. Lineage: Eukaryota; Metazoa; Chordata; Aves; Charadriiformes; Scolopacidae.